Molecule: long non-coding RNA, 241 nt
Organism: Drosophila serrata
Lineage: Eukaryota; Metazoa; Arthropoda; Insecta; Diptera; Drosophilidae
Source: RefSeq, a predicted model, not a curated record
AUGCAUCUCACAAAAGAAAAAUAAAAUAGAAAAUGAAGUGCAUCUUAUCAGUAUUGGCAGUGGUGCUGACCAUGGCGAGUGCUUAUGAAACAACACCAGAUCCUUCCCGAUGGUGCCAACUUAAUUUGGGUCCCGCUUGGGGAGGCAAAAUUUGCCAUUAGAUAUUUAUAUCUAAUAUUGUCUUGUACGGGAUUUAUUAAAUAAAUUAAAGGCAUAAAAUCACACAACAGAUCCUAUAGAU